This is a long non-coding RNA of Felis catus (domestic cat), 1651 nucleotides long. RefSeq lists it as uncharacterized. The transcript has 4 exons. Lineage: Eukaryota; Metazoa; Chordata; Mammalia; Carnivora; Felidae. The record is from RefSeq and is a predicted model, not a curated record.
CGGGGGCCUGGAGUGGGGCAGGGUGGGCGUUCAAUGAAAGGUUGAUGAGUGAACAGAAGGACGGUCAGCCUUUCACGUCAAGCCCUUCAGUUAUGUAAGACCCAUGACCCCUUCUAAGAAGCAUGCAGUGAAGGUGAUGGGGAGGAAGCUUGCUCUUCGGAAGCCUUUAGAAUUAGGACAGGAAAACAGUUCUUGGAGUUAGGAGAAAAGAGGACGUAGAAAGGAGUCUGAAGAGCUAAGCUGGUCUCCAGACAUGAGCCAAAGGCCCCACAGAUGUUCAGGCUUCUGGUGGGGAGUGGGGAUGGGGGUGGGAAGGGCAAGAGGCAGCUGGCUUUCCACAGGUCUGAACUCUGCAUGGCCCUGCCCACCCCGGUGAGGACAUCCCCACCAGGGUGAGGACACCCUUGCCAAACCUUGCUCUGCUCCCCGCUAGAGCCAGGGCUCCAGAAGCCCCCAUGCCCCGAGGACACGGCUGUGAGCCAGCUGCCACUUGGGCUCCUAUGUGGUCAGGCCCUGCUUGUGUCAAUUCUUGGACAAGAAUGCUCAUCCUGGUCUCCUGGGGAAGUCUGCAGGGAAGGUCCUUGGCUUAACCCCAGGAUCCCCACUCCUGGCACAUCCCUGGCACACAACACACGCUGCUUCUGCACAGUGCACGGCAUGAGCCCUGCUCAGGGGUAUAGUUGGCUGAGGGGCGGUCUCCCCCAGCUUGCCCACAAAGGGUGGAGCACCUGUCCACUCUGGGUUCAUGGAGAUGUGUGCAUGUCUCUUUCUCAACAGCUGUGGGACCUUGUGCAAAUGACUUAACCUCUCUGAGUCUCCGCUUCCCCGCUGCCUAAUUGGAAACAAAACCUUCCAUGUGAGGUUGCCGAGGGGAGGGGCAGUGUGUGUGUGUGUGUGUGUGUGCACGUGUGCUGCAAUAACACAUGUGAAGUGCCAGCCACUCUGACUCAAAAGAAUUCCUUUCCCUCAGAACUGACCUGAUACUCCACUCUUGCCAGUCAAUGAUCAUGGCUCAGUCAGUAUUUAUGGGCACCCCGCCACAUGCUGCGCUUAAUUAUGGAGGAGACCACACUCCAGGAAGAACUGGACGCCAGGGCGAGUACUGCUGGUGAAGGCUCGGAGUUUGUGGUUAGUCAACGCGUGCCAUUUCUGGCUGCCUGGCCAGAAACUACCCUCCAGGACAGAGAACCCCCAGCAGACAAGAUUCUUGCCCUCACAAGAGCAGCAAACAUGUCAACAAACGGGCCAUGAGGUGACGCGGGCAGGUGCUCAGGGAGGCCUCGGGAGGGACAUCUGAGCUGAAGAGAGGAUGUCCCUGGCGUUCCUUCAGGACAGACACCUUUCUUCCUUUUGUCUGUCUCUCUAGCACCAGAACACAGAGCCCCGCACCCAGGAGGGGCUCAGUAAAUGUUUGCUAAGUGGAUGACAGCUCCAAAGGAGCGGUCCACUCUCACAGGCUGUGUCAACGACAGAAAUAUUACAAAACAGAAGCUAACACUGAAAUCAUUCAUGUUUCCAUUUAGAAUCAUUUAGCAUUUAGGGGCGCCUGGGUGGCUCAGUCGAUCAGACGUCCGACUUCGGCUCAGGUCAUGAUCUUGCAGUUCGUGGGUUUGAGCCCCUCAUCGGGCUUUGUGCUGACGUCUCAGAGCCU